This 1065-nucleotide long non-coding RNA is filed under the name Malus domestica (apple). Its description in RNAcentral is "long non-coding RNA (MDOM_LNC017733)". Lineage: Eukaryota; Viridiplantae; Streptophyta; Magnoliopsida; Rosales; Rosaceae. The record is from RNAcentral.
GCUACUUAUGAAGACAAUAACACCAUAUGUUAUUUCUCAUGCAUAGGAAUGAGAGGGAAAAUUAAAAUUGAGAAUAGGAAUUAGCGGGAAAAAAUAGAGGGAAAAUUAUUAUUAUUAUUUAUUUUCAGUUUUUAAUCAUUUUUAAAUUGAAAUGACUUAACUAUCCUCACAUGUUAUACACAUGGUCUCACUUAACGGAAAUAUGGAUGGAAUAUAUGAAAAACUAACGGUAGGGGGCAAAUUGGCUAAAAAAAUUAGUUUAAGUCCUUAAUUUUCCAAUAGAAAAGUUCAGGGGAGAAAUCGAAAGUGAGGUGAAAGUUCAGGGGGUAAACCGACAGUUUACCCUUAAUAGUUUUUUAAUUAAUGUAGAUGUGUAAAAAAAUAUAGAAAAAUGUAGAAACGCUUGUAAUGACAAGCUUUACAACUUUCAUGAAGAGCUUAACUUUGAAAUUCGCCACUAUAAUCAUAUAAAUCAUAGAUCAAAAUUUAACCGUUGAUUGUUGUUUACAUUUACGCUUCAUUGUUUUCAUCAAAUUUUGUUUUUUUUUUUCAGAUUUUUUUUUUUUUGAAAACCUGAUAUAUUAGAUGAUGCAGGAAGAUAAACGGUUUGGAUCUUUAAUAUUAUAUUCAGAGUUUUAAGGUUAGUGAAAAUAUUGCUUGAUGUCUAUAAAGUUUCUACAAACUAUAUGACAUCGACUCAUAUUUCAAUUAAACGUAAAUAUCGAAACAUGACAUCAAAGAUUUGAACUGUUCAUCUUCUUACAUCCACCAGAUGAUCAUGUUUUCAAAAAAGAAAAUUUAAAAAAUGAAAUUCAAUAAGAAGAAUAAAGCAUAAAUGGCAAUCGACGGUUAAAUAUAAAUUUAAGGUAUAUGAAUUAUAGUGUUGGAUUUCGAAGCCGACUCCUUCAUGAAAGUUGUAAAGUUUGUCACUAUGAGUGAUUGUAUAUUUUUUUUACAUUUUUUACACUUAUACAAUAAUAAUUAUUAAUUUUAUCAAUUUUUCCCUCAAAUAAAAAACAUUAUUCAUGAAGGUUUGGAGGAUUUUAAAAAUCUAAACGAUAAUGU